This 644-nucleotide long non-coding RNA is filed under the name Homo sapiens (human). RNAcentral's name for it is "HSALNT0203127". Lineage: Eukaryota; Metazoa; Chordata; Mammalia; Primates; Hominidae. The record is from RNAcentral.
UAUUUUAUUCUCAGAACUGAGUGGAAAUAAGACAUAUAGGAGACCAACAAAAGGGAUCAAGAUGUCAGAUUUGAUAAGCAAUUGAUAAAGAGAUUUAGAAGUGUGGCUUUAGACCUGUGGCUCAAAUAGUGGUUUGAAAGCAGAAUCAAGGAUUAAUCAAAGUGACUUCAUCAUCUCCGUAUCAGAGACCGUUUAUAAUACUGUCCAAAGGGCUGAAUGCUUGUUAUAUGGAGGCAGAUAAUUUGAUGGAGCUACAUCUAACUUGACGUAGAGACCACAGUGUGUCACCAGAGAUUCUGGCCUCCUGAGCUGGAUGCAGAAACUGAGAGAACUUGGAGUUGACUCCCAUGGGGAGUGGGGUGUUAGCCAGGAUGGUCUCGAUCUUCUCAUCUGCCCGCCUGGGCCUCCCAAAGUGCGGGGAUUACAGGCGUGAACCACCGUGCCCAGCCACUCUUUAAGAACUGUAGCAGUCACCGCGAGGGUCCGCGGCUUCAUUCUGGAAGCCAUUGAGACUGAGAACCCGCCAAUUCCGGACACAAUUUCAUAGUACAUCAGUAUGGUCCAAUACAGGUACCUCCUCAGGAAACUCUGAAAAAGAAGAAGUAGAAAUAGUAUGAGACAAGAAACAGUCAUAUUCCAAAGGU